Molecule: microRNA, 22 nt
Filed under: Drosophila ananassae
Lineage: Eukaryota; Metazoa; Arthropoda; Insecta; Diptera; Drosophilidae
Also listed under: 3 other names
Description: Dan-Mir-999_5p* (star (passenger))
Source: RNAcentral
ACAUAGUCGUACGGUGAAUGUU